AGCAAAAGGGCUUGACAUUCGCUUAGGUCACAGGGUUACAGAAAUUGUUAGACGUUAUAAUGGUGUGAAGGUAACAGUUGAGGAUGGGAGUACUUUUGUAGCCGAUGCUGCCAUUAUUGCUGUUCCUCUUGGUGUUCUGAAAUCAAAUUGUAUCAAGUUUGAACCUAGAUUACCUGAGUGGAAAGAGGCUGCCAUUAAAGAACUUGGUGUAGGAAUUGAGAACAAGAUUAUUCUGCACUUUCAAGACGUGUUCUGGCCAAAUGUUGAGUUCUUGGGAGUAGUUGCAGAAAGCUCAUAUGAGUGCAGUUACUUUCUUAAUCUUCACAAAGCCACUGGCCAUUCUGUCCUUGUUUAUAUGCCUGCUGGGCAACUGGCCCGUGACAUUGGAGAACUGUCUGAUGAAGCUGCUGCUAAUUUUGCAUUUACUCAACUUAAGAGGAUUCUUCCCAAUGCAACUGCUCCUAUU
RNAcentral lists this unclassified non-coding RNA (466 nucleotides) under Hevea brasiliensis (rubber tree). The record is from RNAcentral. Lineage: Eukaryota; Viridiplantae; Streptophyta; Magnoliopsida; Malpighiales; Euphorbiaceae.